GGGUCAUGAGGCUGGUCGUGCCACCGGUACGUACUGGUCUCACUGAUUCCUCCUUCCUGAAGAACCGUAAUGCCAUUAAUUUGGUGUUGCGGGGAAACAGGACUGUUACUUUGAAAAAAUUAGAGUGUUUAAAGCAAGCUAACGCUUGAAUACAUUAGCAUGGAAUAAUGAAAUAGGACGAUCGAUCCUAUUUUGUUGGUUCCUAGGAUUGACGUA
Molecule: ribosomal RNA, 216 nt
Filed under: Glomeromycotina sp.
Lineage: Eukaryota; Fungi; Glomeromycota
Description: partial small subunit ribosomal RNA
Rfam family: Eukaryotic small subunit ribosomal RNA (bases 40-216)
Source: RNAcentral